GCCGGUGUGGCGGAACUGGCAGACGCGACGGAUUCAAAAUCCGUUUCCCCUUGAAAGGGAGUGCAGGUUCGAUUCCUGUCACCGGCA
This 87-nucleotide transfer RNA is filed under the name Phycisphaerae bacterium. RNAcentral describes it as "tRNA-Leu". It matches the Rfam family "tRNA". Rfam says of the family: Transfer RNA (tRNA) molecules are approximately 80 nucleotides in length. Their secondary structure includes four short double-helical elements and three loops (D, anti-codon, and T loops). The record is from RNAcentral. RNAcentral also lists the same sequence under 1 other name. Lineage: Bacteria; Pseudomonadati; Planctomycetota; Phycisphaerae.